This 630-nucleotide ribosomal RNA is filed under the name uncultured Bacteroidales bacterium. Its description in RNAcentral is "bacterial SSU rRNA". It matches the Rfam family "Bacterial small subunit ribosomal RNA", at positions 79 to 708 of the family's 1533-position model. The record is from RNAcentral. Lineage: Bacteria; Pseudomonadati; Bacteroidota; Bacteroidia; Bacteroidales.
AAACUGGAGAUGGCGACCGGCGCACGGGUGAGUAACACGUAUCCAACCUGCCGAUAACUCGGGGAUAGCCUUUCGAAAGAAAGAUUAAUACCCGAUAGCAUAGUUUCACCGCAUGAUGAGACUAUUAAAGAAUUUCGGUUAUCGAUGGGGAUGCGUUCCAUUAGUUUGUUGGCGGGGUAACGGCCCACCAAGACUACGAUGGAUAGGGGUUCUGAGAGGAAGGUCCCCCACAUUGGAACUGAGACACGGUCCAAACUCCUACGGGAGGCAGCAGUGAGGAAUAUUGGUCAAUGGGCGAUAGCCUGAACCAGCCAAGUAGCGUGAAGGAUGAAGGCUCUAUGGGUCGUAAACUUCUUUUAUAUGGGAAUAAAGUUGAGUAUGUAUACUUUUUUGUAUGUACCAUAUGAAUAAGGAUCGGCUAACUCCGUGCCAGCAGCCGCGGUAAUACGGAGGAUCCGAGCGUUAUCCGGAUUUAUUGGGUUUAAAGGGAGCGUAGGUGGAUUGUUAAGUCAGUUGUGAAGGUUUGCGGCUCAACCGUAAAAUUGCAGUUGAAACUGGCAGUCUUGAGUACAGUAGAGGUGGGCGGAAUUCGUGGUGUAGCGGUGAAAUGCUUAGAUAUCACGAAGAACU